UGGGGAAUAUUGCACAAUGGGCGCAAGCCUGAUGCAGCCAUGCCGCGUGUGUGAAGAAGGCCUUCGGGUUGUAAAGCACUUUCAGCGGGGAGGAAGGCGAUAAGGUUAAUAACCUUGUCGAUUGACGUUACCCGCAGAAGAAGCACCGGCUAACUCCGUGCCAGCAGCCGCGGUAAUACGGAGGGUGCAAGCGUUAAUCGGAAUUACUGGGCGUAAAGCGCACGCAGGCGGUUUCUUAAGUCUGAUGUGAAAGCCCCCGGCUCAACCGGGGAGGGUCAUUGGAAACUGGGAGACUUGAGUGCAGAAGAGGAGAGUGGAAUUCCAUGUGUAGCGGUGAAAUGCGUAGAUAUAUGGAGGAACACCAGUGGCGAAGGCGGCUCUCUGGUCUGUAACUGACGCUGAGGCUCGAAAGCGUGGGGAGCAAACAGG
This 429-nucleotide ribosomal RNA is filed under the name Chloroflexota bacterium. RNAcentral describes it as "Chloroflexi bacterium partial 16S ribosomal RNA". It matches the Rfam family "Bacterial small subunit ribosomal RNA", at positions 355 to 776 of the family's 1533-position model. The record is from RNAcentral. Lineage: Bacteria; Bacillati; Chloroflexota.